Molecule: ribosomal RNA, 507 nt
Filed under: uncultured Glomus
Lineage: Eukaryota; Fungi; Glomeromycota; Glomeromycetes; Glomerales; Glomeraceae
Description: SSU rRNA
Rfam family: Eukaryotic small subunit ribosomal RNA
Source: RNAcentral
AGCAGCCGCGGUAAUUCCAGCUCCAAUAGCGUAUAUUAAAGUUGUUGCAGUUAAAAAGCUCGUAGUUGAAUUUCGGGAUCAAAGGAUCGGUCAUGCCUUGGUAUGUACUGGUUUUAUUGGUUCUCACCUUCUAAAGAACCAUGAUGUCAUUCAUUUGAUGUUAUGGGGAAUUAGGACUGUUACCUUGAAAAAAUUAGAGUGUUUAAAGCAAGCUUACGCUUGAAUACAUUAGCAUGGAAUAAUGAAAUAGGACAUCAGAUUCUAUUUUGUUGGUUUCUAGGAUCGAUGUAAUGAUUAAUAGGGAUAGUUGGGGGCAUUAGUAUUCAAUUGUCAGAGGUGAAAUUCUUGGAUUUAUUGAAGACUAACUACUGCGAAAGCAUUUGCCAAGGAUGUUUUCAUUAAUCAAGAACGAAAGUUAGGGGAUCGAAGACGAUCAGAUACCGUCGUAGUCUUAACCAUAAACUAUGCCGACUAGGGAUCGGAUGAUGUUAAUUUUUUAAUGACUCA